RNAcentral lists this ribosomal RNA (435 nucleotides) under uncultured bacterium. RNAcentral describes it as "partial 16S ribosomal RNA". It matches the Rfam family "Bacterial small subunit ribosomal RNA", at positions 28 to 507 of the family's 1533-position model. The record is from RNAcentral.
GAUGAACGCUGGCGGUAUGCCUAACACAUGCAAGUCGAACGGACUCUUCGGACUUAGUGGCGGACUGGUGAGUAACGCGUUGGAAUCUGGCUUUGGGUUUGGGACAACCACUGGAAACGGUGGCUAAUACCGGAUGUGCCGCGGGGUAAAAGAGAAAUUGACUGAAGAUGAGGUCGCGUCUGAUUAGCUAGUGGGUGAGGUAAAGUCUCACCAAGUCAGCGAUCAGUAGCUGGUCUGAGAGGAGGACCAGCCAAACUGGGACUGAGACACGGCACAGACUAAUACGGGAGGAAGCAGGGGGGAAUUAUCCGGAAAGGGCGAAAGCGUGAAGAAGCAAUACCGAGUGAGGAAAGAAGGAACUUGGGAGGUAAAGCUGUUAUCUUAGGGAAGAACAAAAUGACGGUACCAAAGGAAUAAGCAUCGGCUAACUCCGUG